GGGGUCGACCGGUUUUGACAGCAAGUUUAAUAACUAUGUUAGCAAGUCGAGCAUUGAAAAUGAACUCGUUAAUAUCAUUUUCAAAAUUUAAAUGGCGAAAAUAACUACGCUUUAGCUGCUUAAUUUAUAUAAUUAUAGUAAGUCUUUGCAAUAUCCUAGCUAGGCUAGGAAGCU
This 174-nucleotide transfer-messenger RNA is filed under the name Candidatus Pelagibacterales bacterium. RNAcentral describes it as "partial transfer-messenger RNA". It matches the Rfam family "transfer-messenger RNA", at positions 1 to 176 of the family's 374-position model. From Rfam's summary of the family: Bacterial tmRNA, also known as 10Sa RNA or SsrA, is named for its dual tRNA and mRNA-like properties. Lineage: Bacteria; Pseudomonadati; Pseudomonadota; Alphaproteobacteria; Candidatus Pelagibacterales. The record is from RNAcentral.